RNAcentral lists this long non-coding RNA (3886 nucleotides) under Mus musculus (house mouse). Its description in RNAcentral is "predicted gene, 49534". The record is from RNAcentral. Lineage: Eukaryota; Metazoa; Chordata; Mammalia; Rodentia; Muridae.
ACUACAAGUACCUUCUGCUUAUGCUUUGUGGAAUAGUUUGUGAAGAACUGGAAUUAGAUCUUCUUUGAAGGUCUGAUAGAACUCUGCACUAAACCCAUCUUUCCAGGCCUUUUUUUUGUUGUUGUUGUUGGGAGACUAUUAAUGACUGCUUCUAUUUCUUUAGGGGAUAUGGGAAUGUUUAGAUCAUUAACCUGAUCCUGAUUUUACUUUGGUACCUGGUAUCUGUCUAGGAAUUUGUCCAUUUCACCCAGGUUUUCCAGUUUUGUUGAGUAUAGCCUUUUGUUGACGGAUCUGAUGGUGUUUUGGGUUUCUUCAGGAUCUGUUGUUAUGUCUCCCUUUUCAUUCCUAAUUUUGUUAAAUAGGAUGCUGGCCAUGUGCCCUCUAGUGAGUCUGGCUAAGGGUUUAUCUAUCUUGUUGAUUUUCUCAAAGAACCAGCUCCUCAUUUGGUUGAUUCUUUGAAUAGUUCUUCUUGUUUCCACUUGGUUGAUUUUGCCCAUGAGUUUGAUUAUUUUCUGUUGUCUACUCCUCUUGGGUGAAUUUGCUUCCUUUUGUUCUAGAGCUUUUAGGUGUGUUGUCAAGCUGCUAGUGUGUGCUCUCUCUAGUUUCUUUUUGGAGGCACUCAGAGCUAUAAGUUUCCCUCUUAGAAAUGAUUUCCUUGUGUCCCAUAAGUUUGGGUAUGUUGUGGCUUCAUUUUCAUUAAACUCUAAAAAGUCUUUAAUUUCUUUCUUUAUUCCUUCCUUGACCAAGGUAUCAUUGAGAAGAGUGUUGUUCAGUUUCCACGUGAAUGUUGGCUUUCUAUUAUUUAUGUUGUUAUUGAAGAUCAACCUUAGUUCAUGGUGAUCUGAUAGGAUGCAUGGGACAAUUUCAAUAUUUUUGUGUCUGUUGAGGACUGUUUUGUGACCAAUUAUAUGGUCAGUUUUGGAGAAGGUACCAUAGGGUGCUGAGAAGAAGGUAUAUCCUUUUGUUUUAGGAUAAAGUGUUCUGUAGAUAUCUGUUAAAUCCAGUUGUUUCAUAACUUCUGUUUGUUUCACUGUGUCCCUGCUUAGUUUCUGUUUCUAUGAUCUGUCCAUUGAUAAAAGUAGUUUAUUGAAUUCUCCCACUAUUAUUAUGUGAGGUACAAUGUGUAGUUUGAGCUUUAAUAAAGUUUCUUUAAUAAAUGUGGUUCUUGUUGCAUUUGGAGCAUAGAUAUUCAGAAUUGUGAGGUCCUCUUGGAAGAUUUUACUUUUGAUGAGUAUGAAGUGUCCCUCCUUGUCUUUUUUGAUAACUUUGGGAUGGAAGUCAAUUUUAUUUGAUAUUAGAAUGACUACUCCAGCUUGUUUCUUCAGACCAUUUGCUUGGAAAAUUGUUUUCCAGCCUUUCACUCUGAGGUAGUAUCUCUAUUUUUCCCUGAGUUGGGUUUCCUGUAAGCAGCAAAAUGUUGGGUCCUGUAUGUGUAGCCAGUCUGUUAGUCUAUGUCUUUUUAUUGGGGAAUUUAGUCCAUUGAUAUCAAGAGACAUUAAUAAAAAGUAAUUUUUGCUUCCUUUUAUUUUUGUUUUUAGAGUUGGCAUUCUGUUCUUGUGGCUGUCUUCUUUUAGGUUUGUUAAAGGAUUACCUUCUUGCUUUUUCUAGGACAUGGUUUCCAACCUUGUAUUGUUUUUUUUUUUUUUCUGUUAUUAUCCUUUGAAGGGCUGGAUUCAUGGAAAGAUGUGUGAAUAUGGUUUGGUUGUGGAAUGCUUUGGUUUCUCCAUCUAUGGUAAUUGAAAGUUUGGCUGGGUAUAGUAGCCAGGGCUGGCAUUUGUGUUCUCUUAGUGUCUGUAUAACAUCUGUCCAGGAUCUUCUGGCUUUCAUAGUCUCUGGUGAAAAGUCUGGUGUAAUUCUGAUAGGCCUGCCUUUAUAUGUUACUUGACCCCUUUCCCUUACUGCUUUUAAUAUUCUCUCUUUAUUUAGUGCAUUUGUUGUUCUGAUUAUUAUGUGUCGGGAGGAAUUUCUUUUCCGGUCCAGUCUAUUUGGAGUUCUGUAGGCUUCUUGUAUGUUCAUGGGCAUCUCUUUCUUUAGGUUUGAGACAUUUUCUUCUAUAAUUUUGUUGAAGAUAUUUGCUGGCUCUUUAAGUUGAAAACUCUUCAUUCUCAUCUACUCCUAUUAUCUGUAGGUUUGGUCUUCUCAUUGUGUCCUGGAUUUCCUCGAUGUGUUGAGUUGGGAUCUUUUUGCAUUUUGCAGUUUCUUUGAUUGUUGUGGUGAUGUUCUCUAUGGAAUCUUCUGCACCUGAGAUUCUCUCUUCCAUCUCUUGUAUUCUGUUGCUGAUGCUCGCAUCUAUGGUUCCAGAUUUCUUUCCUAGGGUUUCUAUCUCCAGCGUUGCCUCACUUUGGCUUUUCUUUAUUGUGUCUACUUCCCUUUUUAGGUCUUGGAUGGUUUUAUUCAAUUCCAUCACCUGUUUGGUCGUGUUUUCCUGCAAUUCUUUAAGGGAUUUAUGUGCUUCCUUUUUAAGGUCUUCUACCUGUUUAGCAGUGUUCUCCUGUAUUUCUUUAAGUGAGUUAUUAAAGUCCUUCUUGACGUCCUCUACCAUUAUCAUGAGAUAUGCUUCUAAAUCCAGGUCUAGCUUUUUGGGUGUGUUGGUGUGCCCAGGACUGGGUGAGUUGGGAGUGCUGCAUUCUGAUGGUGGUGAGUGGUCUUGGUUUCUGUUAGUAAGAUUCUUGCAUUUGCCUUUCAACAUCUGGUAAUCUCUGGAGUUAGUUGUUAUAGUUCUCUCUGGUUAGAGCUUGCUCCUCUCAUGAUUCUGUUAGCCUCUAUCAGCAGACCUGGGGAACUAGAUCUCUCCUGUAUGUUUCCAUGGUUAGAGCACUCUGCAGGCAAGCUCUCCUCUUCCUGGGAAGGUGUAGAGAUAUCUGGCAUUCGGACCUGCCUCUUUGCAGAAGAUGAAGGCCUGAAAUAGGGCCUGUCCCAGAAGCUGUGUCUCUUCUGCCUGUCCCAGAAGCUGUUAGCUUCUGUAGUCCACACUCUCACCUGCGCAGACUAGUCUCAGAAGGAUCCAGAAACCAAGAUGGUGCCCCCAGGUCCUCUGUCAAAGUGGGGCAGACACCUCUCCUCUGGCAGGGAAGGUGCCUGGAUGUCUGGAGCCUGAAAUGGGGUCUGCCUCAGAAGCUGUCCUCUAGGGACCUUGGGGUUGUCUGCAGACUCUGCACCCAGGUGACCAGGUGCUGGUGCCAACAAGAAGGGAUUUGUGACCCUGGUCAGGCCGGCUUUUCUGCUUCCCUAAUGCUGUCAAAGUCCUGUGCGAUUGGAUUGGAACAGAAGUUGUGUUCCACUCACCGGUGGUCCUAAGAUCGUGUGGAGAGUCCUCUACAGGACCUUGGGGGUGUCCACUGACUCCACGCCCACGGUGACCUGGUGCUGGUGCCGACAGCUAAAUAAUAUUCCACUGUGAAUGGUACUGUGUGGAAGCUAUGGAGUCCUUUUGAUAUAUGAAUAAGAACGGUAUGGCUGGACUGUAGAUCUAUUUCUACCAUUUUGAGGAACCUCCACAUUCCACAUUUUGAGGAAGUGCCAUAGUGACUGUACCAGACCACACUGUUGCCAGAGGCUGCCAGAAGGAGCUUAUACCAGUUUGGAUGGUCAACUUGACACAGCCGAGAGUCACUGAAGAAGAGCAUCUCAAUGAGGGAUUCUCCCCAGUGGAUGAGCCUGCCUUGAUCACAUUAACUGCUGUGGGAAGACCCAGUGUUCUGUGAGAAGCACCAUUCCCUAUAGAACAGGAGAAAGCCAACAGAAGCAGGAACCAUGCAGCAGAGGUUCCUUUAUCUUUCUUUGAUCUUGACUGUGACUGUGAUGUGAUGAGCCAUUUGAGGCUUCUGACUUGACUUCUCCACCGUGACUCACUUGGAGCUAUGAGCUGAAAUAAACUCUUUUCCCC